RNAcentral lists this ribosomal RNA (487 nucleotides) under uncultured bacterium. Its description in RNAcentral is "partial 16S ribosomal RNA". It matches the Rfam family "Bacterial small subunit ribosomal RNA", at positions 899 to 1397 of the family's 1533-position model. The record is from RNAcentral.
ACUCAAAUGAAUUGACGGGGGCCCGCACAAGCAGCGGAGCGUGUGGUUUAAUUCGAUGCAACACGAAGAACCUUACCAAGGCUUGACAUACUGGAAGUAGAAUACCGAAAGGUCGACGACCUGUUAAAUCAGGAGCCAGCACAGGUGCUGCAUGGCUGUCGUCAGCUCGUGCCGUGAGGUGUUGGGUUAAGUCCCGCAACGAGCGCAACCCUCGUUGCCAGUUGUUUUCUCUGGCGAGACUGCCCCGUAGAACGGGGAGGAAGGUGGGGAUGACGUCAAGUCAGCAUGGCCUUUAUGCCUUGGGCUACACACACGCCACAAUGGUCGGUACAAUUAGUUGCAAUGGAGCGAUCCGGAGCUAAUCCCUAAAACCGAUCUCAGUUCGGAUUGUAGGCUGAAACCUGCCUGCAUGAAGUUGGAGUUGCUAGUAACCGCAUAUCAGCAUGGUGCGGUGAAUACGUUCUCGGGCCUUGUACACACCGCCCGU